Molecule: ribosomal RNA, 406 nt
Filed under: uncultured bacterium
Lineage: Bacteria
Description: partial 16S ribosomal RNA
Rfam family: Bacterial small subunit ribosomal RNA
Source: RNAcentral
AUUGAACGCUAGCGGGAUGCCUUACACAUGCAAGUCGAACGAGUGGCGGACGGGUGAGUAAUGUAUGGGAAACUGCCAAGUAGCGGGGGAUAACUACUGGACACGGUAGCUAAUACCGAAUACUAUCGGAUGUGCCCAGAUGGGAUUAGCUAGUUGGUGGGGGAAAGGCUCACCAAGGCGACGAUCCCUAGCUGGUCUGAGAGGAGGACCAGCCACACUGGAACUGAGACACGGUCCAGACUCCUACGGGAGGCAGCAGUGGGGAAUAUUGCACAAUGGGCGCAAGCCUGAUGCAGCCAUGCCGCGUGUAUGAAGAAGGCCUUCGGGUUGUAAAGUACUUUUAGCAGAGAGGCGGUACCCGCAGAAGAAGCACCGGCUAACUCCGUGCCAGCAGCCGCGGUAAUUC